Molecule: long non-coding RNA, 1871 nt
Filed under: Eptatretus burgeri (inshore hagfish)
Lineage: Eukaryota; Metazoa; Chordata; Myxini; Myxiniformes; Myxinidae
Description: lncRNA (ENSEBUG00000017344.1)
Source: RNAcentral
UCGAAAUGCAUUCAUUUAUCUGCUACUUUAAUUCGCCUGAAUUAAAACACCUUUAAAUAUGAGUUACCUGACAAGGAGCUUUGAUGCAGGAGGAAGCCAAUUUGUUUGAUUUGAUUUUCAAUUUUGUUUGACUGCCAGACAGGCAGACAGAGUAAAAAAAUUCUCACUCCUCUCUGCGCACGUGCGAUCGGGACAAAUUCAUCGCCAAAUUAAUGUUAAACUACAGGUUCAUUUUCCAAUUCACGUUCAAAGUAUAACAUUCAAUUGAAAUGAAGUUGUUCCUCAAUCAUAAACUGAUGUUUGUAGACAGACAGACAAAGUGAACCAAUUGCUUAACCACGCUUUUUGCUUUACGCAUGCGGAGUAAUUACAAUGCGAUUUUUACACGAGUUUGUUGCCUAAUAAUUGUAAUUAAAUAUGUAGUGGAUCACUCUAUAUAUAGCAAAGCAGUCCACACUGAGUUGAAUGUUGCGCACUUUGUUAUUUAUUGUAGGAUAUGGCCCUUCACGGUGGAAAGUUCAUCGAGUCAGAUGCGCGACCUCGCAGGCACUUCAGACACUCAGUCGGACCACAGCUAUGAGUCUUGUGAGCCGGCAACCUCAACUACGACUGACAUCUACAGUAACUUGCACUAUAUGGUCACCACACAAGAAGAACUUUCAGAAAGUAACUUCGACACAGGCAGCUCACAAAGCUGGCCAAAUGGUCAGCAGUAUGAAAGUACGGAAAGCAGUGGAUACUUCGACAUGGGUGAGCGGAGGCCACCAUUGUAUGGAGUUUGGCAGACCACCAAUCAAAACGGAGGACGAGUGUGGGUUAGUUUUACACCAUGCAGAAAAUGUAAACAUUCUUCCACUCAUAUCUUCAUUUCCUUCUGCCAAAGCUUUUGCUGUGCCACCCAGCGAACUUAUGAUUGGUUGUAUGGUUUUGCAGCUGACGCAAAGUGCAUGCAAAAGUAAAUAACGAGCAACAUCUACUAUUAAUUAAUGUUAUUAAUGCAGAAUGUCACGUGUUUAAUUCCAGGACAUGCUGCCAAUGGAGGAUAUCUUGGAGGAAGGAAGUUCAGAUGUAUCAAAUGAUAAUCAGCCACUUUCAUCUCUUAUGGUGGCAAAAUCCAAUCAACCGCACGGCCUCCUCGUUUAAAACAAUUUAAUAACCAUGUGUAACCCCAUACUUGCAUGCAGUUGUUCAAUGUAGGCCUAUAUCCAAUAACCUCAGCUUUAUUCCAAUUCCACACCGACAUGCCAAAUAAAUUCCUGCAAGUCAAAGUAACUUUCAAGCCUUUUUGAAACAUUUUCGUUCCUCUUUGCCAAGCUUGCUUUGUAACUGAAGGAUCUUUUCUUUUUCACUAUUCACUGACGCCUUGAGCCAGGAAGUUGCGUAAAAUUGUUGUUGCUUUUUGACUUUAAUAAUUUCAAAAUAUUUCCCCAUAAUUUCACAUCAACAGGUAGGAAAGCUUGGUGUUGGCUCAGUUGUUAGGGUGGCUGGCUUGGGAUCUUCGGUUCCUGAGUUCAAGCGCCUGUUGGCUGUUGAAGUAACACGAGGUGGGGUGGUUAAUUCAGCCUGUGUUGCUUCUGAGGUUGGUGAAAUGAGCACCAGUGCACUAAUAAUGGGGGUAUUGCAUCAGUGGCAGCUUUUUUAGCUGUAUUGUUUUCUUUCCUCACCGAUGAAUCAUCAAUCUCAAUUCAAUUCAUUAAAUGCUCAUUAUGUAAAAUUAAUCAAUGUGACAGUCUGACUCCACCAACUUCGGAUGAGAUUCUGUCUUUAAUAGACCCUUAAAAAGUGAGUCGAUGAAGAAUGCAUUGCAGGCCUCAGACUUUUGAAGAAGCAUGCAAACUACCACCUCCCAGACCCCCCCCCCCCCCCCCCCC